ACAAGUGUGACAUCAGCGGUCAUGGAGAGUCUCCAUCCAGCUGGAUCACUGUCACAGACAAACACACCACCACACCUCCACCUACAUCCACACCUCCUCCUGGUUCCACCUCUCCUCCAUUACUCUCUCAUCCUGGCUCCAUCGCCAGCCUUGGUUCCCCUCUCAUACCUGUGUUGUCAUGUGUUGGAUCAGUCUGUGUUUUGCUUCUACUGGUGUUACUGGUUCUGCUGGUGAGACGAUGUGUUCGCAGGAAACUUGAAGCAGAAGAAAACACGACAUACUGCAACAUCAAAACAUCACACUGUCAAAAUCAACCAAACAAGAAAUGCAGAGACUUUAAACCAGAGCCAGACGUCGCCGACUCUUCGCUAAAGUAGUCCACCAGUCCAACCACUGGUGGCCCAGCUGCUGGUCUCUAACUGGUCCACCCCCCACCCCCCAGCACCUCAGACAAGGAGACAUCCACAAGUUCAAAAGAUUACUCUGAUAUUUACAUAUUUUUUUAUUUAGUCUCAUAUGCUUUAAAAAUCACAAGUUUAACUGGAAUUUUAGUACUUAAAAUAAACAAUGAUAAUAAAGUCACACUAUGAGUUUGGCACUGUUUCCCACACUAGUGAUUUUGUUUCACUGUAGGAUUAAUAAAAUUAUUUACUUGAUGACUCUGGCCCUAAACUAGUUAUCAGUCCUUAUAUGAGUCCUAAAUAUAACCCACAAAGAAUUUUCACAAUAAAAGUCCUUUAUACUGUCACACAUUGGGUUAUGCCAUUUUUUAAAAAAUAUUGUUGUUUUUUUUUUAACAAAUGACCCCAGUGACCUUAUAGUUUGUCAUUUAGAUUCAGCGGACUAACAAACUGUUUCACUUUUAUUAAAGCUUCACUUUACUAUUUACAGAUGAACAUCAUGUGGAGUUAAUGUAAAUCAUUUCGUAUCAAAUGAAUUCAAUCUGUUUUAUCAUCUGAAGGACCAAAAGCUGUCAGACUUUAUCUGACACAAUAUAAAGAAGAAAAUGACCUCAAUCACAAAAAGGAAAUGUACUCAGUUACUCUCCUGUACUCUGAUUACAGUCAUGUGAUUUCCAGGAAGUGCUGCAGCAGCUGCAUGCUCUCUCUCCCUGCAAACUGUUUGCUGCUGCUCAUCUUUUCCAUGUUUUCUCUGUGUGUGUUUCUGCUGCUUCUUUGUCCUCACUGUAAACAGAUGUACUGAGAGACUCCUGCACUGAUGUUUCAUAGGAAAGUCUAAACAGCCUCACUGGUUCUCAGUCUCGUUCAUCAAAGUUCUAAAUACAGAAUCAAGUGAAUAUAAACUUCACCCUCAGUUAAAAUUACUUUUAUUAAGAACAGCACUUCCUCAGUAUUACUAUGAAAGCAUUAUUGAUGAUCUGCUUGUAUCCAUGUUAGUAUUUAAAGUCAAACCUCUCUCUCUAG
This is a long non-coding RNA of Oreochromis aureus, 1424 nucleotides long. RefSeq lists it as uncharacterized. The record is from RefSeq and is a predicted model, not a curated record. The transcript is spliced from 4 exons. Lineage: Eukaryota; Metazoa; Chordata; Actinopteri; Cichliformes; Cichlidae.